This 496-nucleotide ribosomal RNA is filed under the name uncultured bacterium. RNAcentral describes it as "partial 16S ribosomal RNA". It matches the Rfam family "Bacterial small subunit ribosomal RNA", at positions 29 to 507 of the family's 1533-position model. The record is from RNAcentral.
AUGAACGCUGGCGGCGUGCCUAAUACAUGCAAGUCGAGCGAACAGACGAGGAGCUUGCUCCUCUGACGUUAGCGGCGGACGGGUGAGUAACACGUGGAUAACCUACCUAUAAAACUGGGAUAACUUCGGGAAACCGGAGCUAAUACCGGAUAAUAUAUUGAACCGCAUGGUUCAAUAGUGAAAGACGGUUUUGCUGUCACUUAUAGAUGGAUCCGCGCCGCAUUAGCUAGUUGGUAAGGUAACGGCUUACCAAGGCAACGAUGCGUAGCCGACCUGAGAGGGUGAUCGGCCACACUGGAACUGAGACACGGUCCAGACUCCUACGGGAGGCAGCAGUAGGGAAUCUUCCGCAAUGGGCGAAAGCCUGACGGAGCAACGCCGCGUGAGUGAUGAAGGUCUUCGGAUCGUAAAACUCUGUUAUUAGGGAAGAACAAAUGUGUAAGUAACUAUGCACGUCUUGACGGUACCUAAUCAGAAAGCCACGGCUAACUACGUG